Molecule: unclassified non-coding RNA, 973 nt
Filed under: Hevea brasiliensis (rubber tree)
Lineage: Eukaryota; Viridiplantae; Streptophyta; Magnoliopsida; Malpighiales; Euphorbiaceae
Source: RNAcentral
GCACUUUGCACUUUAAGCAAUGGGGGAUAUAUCGCUUUGAGUACGCCUUAUACUUUUCAAAACCUUGAUCCUAGUACAAGUUGGAUGCAAGAUCGGUCAUCAACACCAUACUUGUUUAGUAUAGAAUUCCCUAAGUGUUGGAUUGGUCAUUAGGGUAUGCUCCCUCUAUAUUCAUCUUCCAAUCUCCAACUCCCUAUCUUUAAUAGACAUGUCGGUUAGUCUUAUGCACACUUGAGUGGGGCAUUGAGACAUCCUUAGAGGUUGCUACAUGGUUAUAUGUGUCAUUCUUUCAUAGGUAGGCUAUUUUUGCCCAUAUCAUUGCCUAUCUAAAACUUCCUGACAGCAAGCACUGUUACCCACUUCAAAUCCAACAAGUUCUGCAUUAACUAUUCAACACAUCAAUGAUAGCACUCUAAACAUUCAAUUUAAUUUAAUGAAUUCAUCAAGUUGGCUUUUUCUUCUUUUCUUUUCCAAGGUUAUCAAUUACUUAGUAACAAAACUAUAAUGUUCUAGUUGUAGAGGUUAUGUUUUUCCCGCUCUCACAACCUAGGUCUGCUGCCCUAAGGCUAUGAAGCACCAACAAGUGUGCAAUGGAAUCAACAUUCUAAACACAUGCACAUGCUUGGCACACCUCCAACACACAUCAUACACACCAAACCAUGUCCAACAAAAAGAAAAGAACAUUUUGGACACAGUCUAGCACAACUUUAUACAUGUUGGACAUAUGAUAGACAUUUCAACUUUCAAGGAAUUGUUUUCUGCAACAAAAUUGUUGAGUGUGAAUGCACAUUAGUGAAAUUUUAAGAAAAAAAAUCUCCAUCAAAAUUAAGGAAAAGAUAAAAGAUUUUAUUAUGAAGUAAGAUGCUUGUCGAUGGAUAUUUUAAUUUUGGCAUUGAUAUCAAACAUUUUAUUAUAUAUUUGGGAAGAAAGUUUCUUUUUUACAACAGAUGAUAUUUAUUCUUUAAUAUUAUGG